UGCUUUUCGCAUUCUUAGAGCCAGC
Molecule: non-coding RNA, 25 nt
Filed under: Rattus norvegicus (Norway rat)
Lineage: Eukaryota; Metazoa; Chordata; Mammalia; Rodentia; Muridae
Source: RNAcentral